This 21-nucleotide non-coding RNA is filed under the name Caenorhabditis elegans. The record is from RNAcentral. Lineage: Eukaryota; Metazoa; Nematoda; Chromadorea; Rhabditida; Rhabditidae.
UAUGGUUGCAUACUGUUGCGC